Molecule: ribosomal RNA, 439 nt
Filed under: uncultured bacterium
Lineage: Bacteria
Description: partial 16S ribosomal RNA
Rfam family: Bacterial small subunit ribosomal RNA
Source: RNAcentral
CCUACGGGAGGCAGCAGUGAGGAAUAUUGGUCAAUGGGCGCUAGCCUGAUGCAGCAAAGCCGCGUGAGCGAUGAAGGCCCUCGGGUCGUAAAGCUCUGUCCUCCAGGAAGAUAAUGACGGUCCUUGAGGCGGAAGCACCGGCUAACUACGUGCCAGCAGCCGCGGUAAUACGUAGGGGGCUAGCGUUAUCCGGAAUUACUGGGCGUAAAGGGUGCGUAGGUGGUUUCUUAAGUCAGAGGUGAAAGGCUACGGCUCAACCGUAGUAAGCCUUUGAAACUGGGGAACUUCAGUGCAGGAGAGGAGAGUGGAAUGCCUAGUGUAGCGGUGAAAUGCGUAGAUAUUAGGAGGAACACCAGUUGCGAAGGCGGCACUCUGGACUGUAACUGACACUGAGGCACGAAAGCGUGGGUAGCGAACAGGAUUAGAUACCCCAGUAGUC